Molecule: ribosomal RNA, 752 nt
Filed under: uncultured Glomus
Lineage: Eukaryota; Fungi; Glomeromycota; Glomeromycetes; Glomerales; Glomeraceae
Description: SSU rRNA
Rfam family: Eukaryotic small subunit ribosomal RNA
Source: RNAcentral
GGCCUACCAUGGUGGUAACGGGUAACGGGGUGUUAGGGCACGACACCGGAGAGGGAGCCUGAGAAACGGCUACCACAUCCAAGGAUGGCAGCAGGCGCGCAAAUUACCCAAUCCCGACACGGGGAGGUAGUGACAAUAAAUAACAAUACGGGGUUCUUUCGGAUUUCGUAAUUGGAAUGAGUACAAUUUAAAUCUCUUAACGAGGAACAAUUGGAGGGCAAGUCUGGUGCCAGCAGCCGCGGUAAUUCCAGCUCCAAUAGCGUAUAUUAAAGUUGCUGCAGUUAAAAAGCUCGUAGUUGAAUUUCGGGACCAUCAUGUCGGUCGUGCCUCGGUACGUACUGGCAUUGUUGGUUUCUCCCUUCUGACGAACCAUGAUGUCAUUUAUUUGGUGUUGUGGGGAAUCAGGACUGUUACUUUGAAAAAAUUAGAGUGUUUAAAGCAGGCUCACGCUUGAAUACAUUAGCAUGGAAUAAUGAAAUAGGACGUUUGAUUCUAUUUUGUUGGUUUCUAGGAUCGACGUAAUGAUUAAUAGGGAUAGUUGGGGGCAUUAGUAUUCAAUUGUCAGAGGUGAAAUUCUUGGAUUUAUUGAAGACUAACUACUGCGAAAGCAUUUGCCAAGGAUGUUUUCAUUAAUCAAGAACGAAAGUUAGGGGAUCGAAGACGAUCAGAUACCGUCGUAGUCUUAACCAUAAACUAUGCCGACUAGGGAUCGGAUGAUGUUAAUUUUUUAAUGACUCAUUCGGCGCCUUACG